AGCUUUGCGCAGUGGCAGUAUCAUAGCCAACGAGGUUUAUCCGAGGCGUGAUUAUUGCUAAUUGAAAACUUUUCCUAAUACCCCGCCGUGACGACUUGCAAUAAAGUCAACACUGGCAAUUUUUGACAGUUUCUACGGAGA
Small nuclear RNA from Callithrix jacchus (white-tufted-ear marmoset), 141 nucleotides. Its record names the gene U4. It matches the Rfam family "U4 spliceosomal RNA". Rfam says of the family: U4 small nuclear RNA (U4 snRNA) is a component of the major U2-dependent spliceosome. The structure of U4 snRNA from yeast and human has been reported. The record is from Ensembl. Lineage: Eukaryota; Metazoa; Chordata; Mammalia; Primates; Cebidae.